This 465-nucleotide ribosomal RNA is filed under the name Vreelandella stevensii. RNAcentral's name for it is "partial 16S ribosomal RNA". It matches the Rfam family "Bacterial small subunit ribosomal RNA", at positions 338 to 795 of the family's 1533-position model. The record is from RNAcentral. Lineage: Bacteria; Pseudomonadati; Pseudomonadota; Gammaproteobacteria; Oceanospirillales; Halomonadaceae.
CCUACGGGAGGCAGCAGUGGGGAAUAUUGGACAAUGGGCGAAAGCCUGAUCCAGCCAUGCCGCGUGUGUGAAGAAGGCCUUCGGGUUGUAAAGCACUUUCAGUGGGGAAGAAAGCCUUGGGGCUAAUACCCUCGAGGAAGGACAUCACCCACAGAAGAAGCACCGGCUAACUCCGUGCCAGCAGCCGCGGUAAUACGGAGGGUGCGAGCGUUAAUCGGAAUUACUGGGCGUAAAGCGCGCGUAGGCGGUCUGAUAAGCCGGUUGUGAAAGCCCCGGGCUCAACCUGGGAACGGCAUUCGGAACUGUCAGGCUAGAGUGCAGGAGAGGAAGGUAGAAUUCCCGGUGUAGCGGUGAAAUGCGUAGAGAUCGGGAGGAAUACCAGUGGCGAAGGCGGCCUUCUGGACUGACACUGACGCUGAGGUGCGAAAGCGUGGGUAGCAAACAGGAUUAGAUACCCUUGUAGUC